UACGUAGGUGGCAAGCGUUGUCCGGAUUUACUGGGCGUAAAGCGAACGCAGGCGGAUCUUUAAGUAGGAAGUGAAAGGUUGGAGCUCAACUCUGACACUGCUCCCUAUACUGGAGAUCUUGAGUUCUGGAGAGGAAAGCGGAACGACACGUGUAGCGGUGAAAUGCGUUGAUAUCAGGAGGAACACCGGUGGCGAAGGCGGGUCUCUGGGCCGAUACUGACGCUGAGGAGCGAAAGCGUGGGGAGCAAACAGG
This 253-nucleotide ribosomal RNA is filed under the name uncultured bacterium. Its description in RNAcentral is "partial 16S ribosomal RNA". It matches the Rfam family "Bacterial small subunit ribosomal RNA", at positions 524 to 776 of the family's 1533-position model. The record is from RNAcentral.